RNAcentral lists this ribosomal RNA (429 nucleotides) under Chloroflexota bacterium. RNAcentral describes it as "Chloroflexi bacterium partial 16S ribosomal RNA". It matches the Rfam family "Bacterial small subunit ribosomal RNA", at positions 355 to 776 of the family's 1533-position model. Lineage: Bacteria; Bacillati; Chloroflexota. The record is from RNAcentral.
UGGGGAAUAUUGCACAAUGGGCGCAAGCCUGAUGCAGCCAUGCCGCGUGUGUGAAGAAGGCCUUCGGGUUGUAAAGCACUUUCAGCGGGGAGGAAGGCGUUAAGGUUAAUAACCUUGACGAUUGACGUUACCCGCAGAAGAAGCACCGGCUAACUCCGUGCCAGCAGCCGCGGUAAUACGGAGGGUGCAAGCGUUAAUCGGAAUUACUGGGCGUAAAGCGCACGCAGGCGGUCUGUCAAGUCGGAUGUGAAAUCCCCGGGCUCAACCUGGGAACUGCAUUCGAAACUGGCAGGCUAGAGUCUUGUAGAGGGGGGUAGAAUUCCAGGUGUAGCGGUGAAAUGCGUAGAGAUCUGGAGGAAUACCGGUGGCGAAGGCGGCCCCCUGGACAAAGACUGACGCUCAGGUGCGAAAGCGUGGGGAGCAAACAGG